Long non-coding RNA from Quercus lobata, 616 nucleotides. RefSeq lists it as uncharacterized. The transcript is spliced from 3 exons. Lineage: Eukaryota; Viridiplantae; Streptophyta; Magnoliopsida; Fagales; Fagaceae. The record is from RefSeq and is a predicted model, not a curated record.
CAAAUUUCACUUCGACAAGCCAUGGAUGAUGUUGAGCUAUUUGAAGAUUAUGGAAAAUCUUUUUUGGAAGCGAAGUUAGCUUCACCUUUAGCAGCAUCACCUUCACCAUCAAGCACUGUUACAAAUCUUGACUGAUCUGCCUACAUACAUUGCAACCCCAUGUGUAUGAAGCCAAGUUUAAUGUUGGAGCUUGAAGAAGUGCUUACAUGCAGGAUUACUGAAAAGAAACUUUUUUUUUUACAACUAAGCAUUCUGUCCAGCAAUGGAUUACUAUAAUCUGUUUCACGACUAAGCAUUUUGUUGUAAUGUAAAGCUUUAGAUAUCUUGCCAUAGUUUUUCAUUUCCAGCUCUUUAGUGCUUGUGUUGGUUUUUAUGCAUUUGUUUUGCUUUCUCAAAGUUCUAACACUGUUUGGAGAGUUCACAAUAGAAUGAAAUGAAUUAGAGUGGAUAGGUUAUAAAUGAAUGGAAUGUGGAGGACUAUAUUAUUUUCUUUUGUUUGGUGUGUUUUGGAGUUGCAUAAGAGAAGGAAUGGAAAGAAGAGAUAUCAUACUUGCACCUCUGAUGGUUCAGUGAAGAUAUUGUUGGUUUUGUGUUUUUAUUGUGUAUAUCCAUUUAA